UCGCCUACAUGAAGUUGGAAUCGCUAGUAAUCGCGAAUCAGAAUGUCGCGGUGAAUACGUUCCUGGGUCUUGUACACACCGCCCGUCACACCAUGGGAGUCGGAAAUGCCCGAAGUCUGUGACCCAACCGUAAGGAGGGAGCAGCCGAAGGCAGGUCGGAUGACUGGGGUGAAGUCGUAACAAGGUAUC
This 189-nucleotide ribosomal RNA is filed under the name uncultured bacterium. RNAcentral's name for it is "partial 16S ribosomal RNA". It matches the Rfam family "Bacterial small subunit ribosomal RNA", at positions 1312 to 1500 of the family's 1533-position model. The record is from RNAcentral.